RNAcentral lists this ribosomal RNA (497 nucleotides) under uncultured bacterium. Its description in RNAcentral is "partial 16S ribosomal RNA". It matches the Rfam family "Bacterial small subunit ribosomal RNA", at positions 28 to 507 of the family's 1533-position model. The record is from RNAcentral.
GAUGAACGCUGGCGGCGUGCCUAAUACAUGCAAGUCGAGCGAACAGACGAGGAGCUUGCUCCUCUGACGUUAGCGGCGGACGGGUGAGUAACACGUGGAUAACCUACCUAUAAGACUGGGAUAACUUCGGGAAACCGGAGCUAAUACCGGAUAAUAUAUUGAACCGCAUGGUUCAAUAGUGAAAGACGGUUUUGCUGUCACUUAUAGAUGGAUCCGCGCCGCAUUAGCUAGUUGGUAAGGUAACGGCGUACCAAGGCAACGAUGCGUAGCCGACCUGAGAGGGUGAUCGGCCACACUGUAACUGAGACACGGUCCAGACUCCUACGGGAGGCAGCAGUAGGGAAUCUUCCGCAAUGGGCGAAAGCCUGACGGAGCAACGCCGCGUGAGUGAUGAAGGUCUUCGGAUCGUAAAACUCUGUUAUUAGGGAAGAACAAAUGUGUAAGUAACUAUGCACGUCUUGACGGUACCUAAUCAGAAAGCCACGGCUAACUACGUG